GGCUCGUUGGUCUAGGGGUAUGAUUCUCGCUUUGGGUGCGAGAAGUCUCGGGUUCAAAUCCCGGACGAGCCC
RNAcentral lists this transfer RNA (72 nucleotides) under Saccoglossus kowalevskii. RNAcentral's name for it is "tRNA-Pro". It matches the Rfam family "tRNA". Rfam says of the family: Transfer RNA (tRNA) molecules are approximately 80 nucleotides in length. Their secondary structure includes four short double-helical elements and three loops (D, anti-codon, and T loops). Further hydrogen bonds mediate the characteristic L-shaped molecular structure. tRNAs have two regions of fundamental functional importance: the anti-codon, which is responsible for specific mRNA codon recognition, and the 3' end, to which the tRNAs corresponding amino acid is attached (by aminoacyl-tRNA synthetases). tRNAs cope with the degeneracy of the genetic code in two manners: having more than one tRNA (with a specific anti-codon) for a particular amino acid; and 'wobble' base-pairing, i.e. permitting non-standard base-pairing at the 3rd anti-codon position. Lineage: Eukaryota; Metazoa; Hemichordata; Enteropneusta; Harrimaniidae. The record is from RNAcentral.